UACGGAGGGGGCGAGCGUUAUUCGGAAUUAUUGGGCGUAAAGGGCGCGUAGGCGGCCUGGUAAGUCAAAGGUGAAAUCCCUCGGCUCAACUGAGGAACUGCCUUUGAAACUGUCAGGCUUGAGGCCGGGAGGGGGUGGCGGAAUUCCCAGUGUAGCGGUGAAAUGCGUAGAUAUUGGGAGGAACACCAGUGGCGAAGGCGGCCACCUGGACCGGUUCUGACGCUGAUGCGCGAAAGCGUGGGGAGCAAACAGG
RNAcentral lists this ribosomal RNA (253 nucleotides) under uncultured bacterium. Its description in RNAcentral is "partial 16S ribosomal RNA". It matches the Rfam family "Bacterial small subunit ribosomal RNA", at positions 524 to 776 of the family's 1533-position model. The record is from RNAcentral.